UGAUAAUUUACCAAUUCCUACAAGUCAUGUGU
Molecule: non-coding RNA, 32 nt
Filed under: Rattus norvegicus (Norway rat)
Lineage: Eukaryota; Metazoa; Chordata; Mammalia; Rodentia; Muridae
Source: RNAcentral